Molecule: microRNA precursor, 60 nt
Filed under: Echinops telfairi (small Madagascar hedgehog)
Lineage: Eukaryota; Metazoa; Chordata; Mammalia; Afrosoricida; Tenrecidae
Description: Ete-Mir-148-P1_pre stem-loop
Rfam family: mir-148/mir-152 microRNA precursor family
About the family: The hairpin precursors (represented here) are predicted based on base pairing and cross-species conservation -- their extents are not known. In this case the mature sequence is excised from the 3' arm of the hairpin.
Source: RNAcentral
AAAGUUCUGAGACGCUCCGACUCUGAGUCUGAUAGAAGUCAGUGCACUACAGAACUUUGU